Molecule: ribosomal RNA, 253 nt
Filed under: uncultured prokaryote
Description: partial 16S ribosomal RNA
Rfam family: Bacterial small subunit ribosomal RNA
Source: RNAcentral
UACGUAGGGGACAAGCGUUGUCCGGAAUGACUGGGCGUAAAGGGCGCGCAGGCGGUCUGAUAAGUCAGAUGUGAAAGGUACCGGCUCAACCGGUGACGUGCAUUUGAAACUGUCAGACUUGAGUAUUGGAGAGGCAAGUGGAAUUCCUAGUGUAGCGGUGAAAUGCGUAGAUAUUAGGAGGAACACCAGUGGCGAAGGCGGCUUGCUGGACAAAUACUGACGCUGAGGUGCGAAAGCGUGGGGAGCGAACAGA